UUAGAGUUUGAUCCUGGCUCAGACUGAACGCUGGCGGCAUGCCUAACACAUGCAAGUCGAACGGCAGCACAGGUAGCAAUACCGGGUGGCGAGUGGCGGACGGGUGAGUAAUGCAUCGGGAUCUACCCUGACGUGGGGGAUAACCUCGGGAAACCGGGACUAAUACCGCAUACGUCCUACGGGAGAAAGCGGGGGACCUUCGGGCCUCGCGCGGCAGGACGAACCGAUGUGCGAUUAGCUAGUUGGCGGGGUAAUGGCCCACCAAGGCGACGAUCGCUAGCUGGUCUGAGAGGAUGAUCAGCCACACUGGGACUGAGACACGGCCCAGACUCCUACGGGAGGCAGCAGUGGGGAAUAUUGGACAAUGGGCGCAAGCCUGAUCCAGCAAUGCCGCGUGUGUGAAGAAGGCCUUCGGGUUGUAAAGCACUUUUAUCAGGAGCGAAAUACUACCGGCCAAUACCCGGUGGGGCUGACGGUACCUGAGGAAUAAGCACCGGCUAACUUCGUGCCAGCAGCCGCGGUAAUACGAAGGGUGCAAGCGUUAAUCGGAAUUACUGGGCGUAAAGGGUGCGUAGGCGGUUCGUUAAGUCUGUUGUGAAAUCCCCGGGCUCAACCUGGGAAUGGCAAUGGAUACUGGCGGGCUAGAGUGUGUCAGAGAAUGGUGGAAUUCCCGGUGUAGCGGUGAAAUGCGUAGAGAUCGGGAGGAACAUCAGUGGCGAAGGCGGCCAUCUGGGACAACACUGACGCUGAAGCACGAAAGCGUGGGGAGCAAACAGGAUUAGAUACCCUGUAGUCCACGCCCUAAACGAUGCGAACUGGAUGUUGGUCUCAACUCGGAGAUCAGUGUCGAAGCAAACGCGUUAAGUUCGCCGCCUGGGAGUACGGUCGCAAGACUGAACUCAAAGGAUUGACGGGGGCCCGCACAGCGGUGAGUAUGUGGUUUAAUUCGAUGCACGCCGAAGACCUUACUUG
Molecule: ribosomal RNA, 972 nt
Filed under: uncultured Rhodanobacter sp.
Lineage: Bacteria; Pseudomonadati; Pseudomonadota; Gammaproteobacteria; Lysobacterales; Rhodanobacteraceae
Description: bacterial SSU rRNA
Rfam family: Bacterial small subunit ribosomal RNA
Source: RNAcentral